Nicotiana tabacum (common tobacco) is the source of this 238-nucleotide non-coding RNA. NCBI's taxonomy places the organism in Eukaryota, Viridiplantae, Streptophyta, Magnoliopsida, Solanales, Solanaceae. The record is from RefSeq and is a predicted model, not a curated record.
UUUGUGAAUUACCAAAUUUAUCUCCUCCAAGGGACAUGCCAUCAAGCUCACAGUUUCUUGAGAUGAGUGAAAUGGAUGGCAUGCUUCCAUUUGCAAGCAAUUCCGGCUAUCCAUUGCAGCAAAUUCCAACUGUUCCUCCACAGUGGAAUGCAAGAGAUGACAUGCCUGGUAUAAACUUUGGAGGAGCUACACAAUUGGGACCAAAUAUUGGUGCCCCUGCAAAUGCUUUGCCUCCUUU